Long non-coding RNA from Talpa occidentalis (Iberian mole), 805 nucleotides. RefSeq lists it as uncharacterized. The record is from RefSeq and is a predicted model, not a curated record. The transcript is spliced from 4 exons. NCBI's taxonomy places the organism in Eukaryota, Metazoa, Chordata, Mammalia, Eulipotyphla, Talpidae.
GAAGCCAGGGUCAUAAGUUCUAUAAUCAUAAGAGGUGAAUGCUGCCCACUAUCAGAGGCAGCUUGGAAGUGGAUUAUUCCCCAGUCUAGCCUCCAGAUGGGAGCACAGCCCAGCCAACACAUUCAUUGCGCUCUGUAAGGUCCUAACCAUAAGUCCUAGGAUGGGAAAAUGAGGUAGUGGUUGGCCUGGUUGAUACAGCAAAUCAAUGGGAGAGGAGGAAUUUGAAGAGCCUGUAGAGGUAACAGUUUGCCACUUCCCUGUCUACACCCAAGGGAGCGUGUUUCUGACCCACUGGAAACAGCUCAGCUACCUCUCCACCUAGGAGUCUGAGCAAGACAGUCUCCAUAGAUAAGCCCUCUCCUCCUCAUCGAGGAAGUUGUGGAGAUUCCUAAACUCAGACUGGAUUUCUUGUCUCCGAAGCUCUAUGUUCUUCUAGAAUCAAGGAAGUGGGCAGAAAAGGGGGAAACAAACCAAACAUACGUCUAUGGUUCCACUGAUAGGAGUUUAACUUGGAACUUUAAAAACUCAUCGAGGGGCCUCCUCUGGUGGCACAGGCGGUUGAGUGCUGUGCUGUAAGCUGUCCCAGCCUCUGCAGCACUGGUUCGAUUCCAGCCCACAGGCGAGGGUCCCACAUGGCAAGCAGACCACUCCUGAGGUGCCCGCUGCUCCCCUCAGCAGUGUAUUUUGUCAGUCUGCUGUUCUGUUCCCCACUCUGUCUCUAGUGAAUCCUCUCACUCUCCCAUGCCUUUGGCCUGUACCCCAGUUCUUGUAUAAGUGAAUAAAUAAAUCUUAAAAACAACAAAAA